GUGUCAGCAGCCGCGGUAAUACAGAGGUCCCGAGCGUUGUUCGGAUUCACUGGGCGUAAAGGGUGCGUAGGUGGUGAGGUAAGUCGGAUGUGAAAUCUCGGAGCUUAACUCCGAAACUGCAUUGGAAACUACCUUGCUUGAGGAUUGGAGGGGGGACUGGAAUUCUCGGUGUAGCAGUGAAAUGCGUAGAUAUCGAGAGGAACACCAGUGGCGAAGGCGAGUCCCUGGACAACUCCUGACACUGAGGCACGAAAGCUAGGGGAGCAAACAGGAUUAGAUACCCCUGUAGUCC
RNAcentral lists this ribosomal RNA (292 nucleotides) under uncultured bacterium. RNAcentral describes it as "partial 16S ribosomal RNA". It matches the Rfam family "Bacterial small subunit ribosomal RNA", at positions 505 to 796 of the family's 1533-position model. The record is from RNAcentral.